GUAGGGAAUAUUGCACAAUGGGCGAAAGCCUGAUGCAGCAACGCCGCGUGCACGAUGAAGGCCUUCGGGUCGUAAAGUGCUUUUCGGGGAGAUGAGGAAGGACAGUAUCCCCGGAAUAAGGCUCGGCUAACUACGUGCCAGCAGCCGCGGUAAAACGUAGGAGCCAAGCGUUAUCCGAAUUCACUGGGCGUAAAGCGCGAGCAGGCGGCAUGGUAAGUUGGAUGUGAAAUCUCCUGGCUCAACUGGGAGAGGACGUUCAAUACUGCCGAGCUAGAGGGCAGCAGAGGGAGGUGGAAUUCCCGGUGUAGUGGUGAAAUGCGUAGAUAUCGGGAGGAACACCAGAGGCGAAAGCGGCCUCCUGGGCUGUGCCUGACGCUGAGAUGCGACAGCUAGGGGAGCGAACGGGAUUAGAUACCCCAGUAGUCC
RNAcentral lists this ribosomal RNA (426 nucleotides) under uncultured bacterium. Its description in RNAcentral is "bacterial SSU rRNA". It matches the Rfam family "Bacterial small subunit ribosomal RNA", at positions 354 to 796 of the family's 1533-position model. The record is from RNAcentral.